AAGUCGACGAAGAGGGCGGGGCGGGGGCGGCUUGUGGACUUCCACACUUUUCCUCUCUUCGGGCCAGUCUGGGGAGAGGGUGGCUAGCUGUGGCGGCGGCCAAUUACGUGGCGGACCUGCGGGGCUAAGCUGGCACGUCACUUCCGACUAGUGGAGUUUUUAGCCUUUUAACAUUCAAGGAUUAGAGCUCCCUCUUUGCCCACUAGCAGGGCAUUAGCUGGUGCUGAAGACAGUGGCUGCUUGGCGAGCCUGGAUCUCCAAGUGACCCCCUCAGCAACUCCUGAUGAACAGGUACUGUGUGCAGAAAUGUGAUUGAGAUUCAAGUCAGGGCCUCUCUGCCCUUUUCCCUCCAGAAACAAAACCAAGAUAAUUUAUCCUGAACACGGUGAAAAAAGGAAGGGAGGGAGGAGAAAAAGUCCGGGUCUCACCUGGGAUUCUCUGUCUCCUGCAACAUGAAGGAUUUAGCCUGGGAGGAGGUGGUGAGAACUCUGGGAGAGAAAAAAGAAGGAAAGAAUAGUUUUACCCAUGCUGAAGUUAAUUUAAACCUUCACCUAGAGAAGCAAAAAAAAAAAACCCACACUUUCCCAUUUUGUGCCUCCCUUCCUAGAGUUUUAGCCAAAGGUUUAGCUAAGUAAUUGGUUUUACCAGCGCACUCACUCCUCCUAUCCCAAGUCUGUUUGACUCCCUCCCCAUCAUCCUCCUCACCUCUUUUCAGGCAGGGUGGGGAUAGCAGCAGGAGGAGAUUUUGGGAGCCUGGCAACUCCUGCAAGGACCGCAGGACAGCCCCUCUGUGGGGAUGCGUGGUGCCCCAUCUGCCGCCCUUCUGAAGAAUGCACUGCCUUCACUUUUUACUGUGUUAGAGUCCAUCCAGACUGUUCUAUCCAAAAAAGUUUCUUUUUCCCCCACAGGCAAUCAGGAAAUGAUUCCUUUCCCGACUGCUUCUGUCUAGUGCCUGGGAAUCUUGAGUCAAUCCCUCAGUAAGUCAGUGACUAGGGAAAUCCCUCUCUGAGCCUCCCAGUUCAUGUUGCUUAGGGAACCUGAUAUUUUCGUGAAACCUGCCUACACAUGGGCAGCCCAACAGCAGAACAAAUGGUGGUGACCAAAGUGAACAAAGAAGUAUAGUUGUGCCAGCUUCGUAGUUGCCCAUGUGGACAAGUCAGCAGGAUCAGGACACGAGGAAGAGUAAAUGUGAGACAGUCAAUGUGACUUCUGCGAUAAACAGAUUUUUAAACCCCGAAAUUUUGCAAAAUUUUGGUGAAACCUGAACUUUCUUCGUUGCAUAUACUGGCACUAUCUGUACCAUCAUACAACUGUCUCACAUUAAAGCUAUUUUUCUUGGGCACUGAUGAGUAAGGUUGGUAUAAGUUCCUCAGAUCAACAAAAACCCAUUUUCCUGUAAGUCUUACAUUUAGUAUUUAAGGAACUAAAACUUAAAUACAUUUUGUGAAAUGGUUGACACUUCACUGAUAAUGAUUUAUUGCUUGGAUUAAUAAAUUUUCCAAAAGUUGUCUUAUGUAGAAUAUGGUUUGCAACCAGCAGAACCAUUAAUCUAUACUGCAAUGAUAUGCACUAUGUAUAAUUGUUUAAAAGCCUCUACUUAAUGAUGUAAAAUGCUCUAUUUAAUUACACAUUU
Molecule: long non-coding RNA, 1633 nt
Filed under: Homo sapiens (human)
Lineage: Eukaryota; Metazoa; Chordata; Mammalia; Primates; Hominidae
Description: HSALNT0333602
Source: RNAcentral